Molecule: long non-coding RNA, 645 nt
Filed under: Ricinus communis (castor bean)
Lineage: Eukaryota; Viridiplantae; Streptophyta; Magnoliopsida; Malpighiales; Euphorbiaceae
Description: long non-coding RNA (RCOM_LNC000353)
Source: RNAcentral
GCCUACAUAUUGCCUCAUGAUCUCCAUCAGUUAUCCCAGUCAAGCAACCGCAUUUUUCACUUCUUGUCCAACGUCCAAGGCAUUUCUUUCAUAUCUUUUAGUUGAUUUAACUCUCAGAAAAUCAUCUAUAAAUUAAAAGUCACUUCAUAUAUGAGAAAACAUCAUUUUAAAAAACUCUAUAAUCUAAAAUCCUAAUACAAUGCUAACUUAAGAAUGAGAUUAGUUUCUCUAAGCAAAGUGCAUGGCCCACUCUUAUAUUGUUCAUCUUGCAGGCAGUCAUCAGCUCUAUCGUACAGAUCUUUCCAGCAAUUCUUCUAUAAAAAUCUACCCAGUAUAGGUUCUCCAUCAUCAGCUCUCUUGUAUGGAUGUUCGUAACUUUAUUUCAACUCUCCAAGCAACGUAGGUCUUUAAGAAGUUGUGAGAUUGAUGUCCAACAACAAUGAAAUUGGAAGGAGAUUCUGUAAGUGCGGUGAUAUUCUAAAAUCGUGGAGUCUAUCAGUGUGGUGCUGGUGAAAGGCUGUAGUCUGAUGAAGAGAUUUUCCCAGGGGGUUUUUCUAUAAUUUACUUGUCUGUACAAGCCUAUAGGCAGUAGAUAUUUUUGAGCGAUUAUGCCUGUUUGUAGGUUUAGACCAAAUAUUGUUAUCA